RNAcentral lists this non-coding RNA (89 nucleotides) under Paenibacillus ferrarius. RNAcentral describes it as "c-di-GMP sequence". It matches the Rfam family "c-di-GMP-I riboswitch aptamer". Rfam says of the family: GEMM was predicted in a large-scale screen for bacterial structured RNA regulatory elements. The record is from Rfam by way of RNAcentral. Lineage: Bacteria; Bacillati; Bacillota; Bacilli; Caryophanales; Paenibacillaceae.
UCGUGUAAAAGGCAAACUUAUCGAAAGGUAAGGACGCAAAGUUACAGAUCUAAUGUUGCUUAUGCAAUGAUGAUGGCUGUGCUGCCGAC